Clunio marinus is the source of this 106-nucleotide microRNA precursor. It matches the Rfam family "mir-282 microRNA precursor family". NCBI's taxonomy places the organism in Eukaryota, Metazoa, Arthropoda, Insecta, Diptera, Chironomidae. The record is from Rfam.
UGUCAGAAAAAAUUUAGCCUCUUUUAGGCUUUGUCUUUGACAUAUUGUCGAACUUAUGUAAAUCGCUAUUAGACAUAGCCUUAAGAGGUUAGGUGAAUUCUUGAUA